UUUCGCUGACGAGUGGCGGACGGGUGAGUAAUGUCUGGGAAACUGCCUGAUGGAGGGGGAUAACUACUGGAAACGGUAGCUAAUACCGCAUAACGUCGCAAGACCAAAGAGGGGGACCUUCGGGCCUCUUGCCAUCGGAUGUGCCCAGAUGGGAUUAGCUAGUAGGUGGGGUAACGGCUCACCUAGGCGACGAUCCCUAGCUGGUCUGAGAGGAUGACCAGCCACACUGGAACUGAGACACGGUCCAGACUCCUACGGGAGGCAGCAGUGGGGAAUAUUGCACAAUGGGCGCAAGCCUGAUGCAGCCAUGCCGCGUGUAUGAAGAAGGCCUUCGGGUUGUAAAGUACUUUCAGCGGGGAGGAAGGGAGUAAAGUUAAUACCUUUACUCAUUGACGUUACCCGCAGAAGAAGCACCGGCUAACUCCGUGCCAGCAGCCGCGGUAAUACGGAGGGUGCAAGCGUUAAUCGGAAUUACUGGGCGUAAAGCGCACGCAGGCGGUUUGUUAAGUCAGAUGUGAAAUCCCCGGGCUCAACCUGGGAACUGCAUCUGAUACUGGCAAGCUUG
Molecule: ribosomal RNA, 565 nt
Filed under: Enterobacteriaceae bacterium HGH0093
Lineage: Bacteria; Pseudomonadati; Pseudomonadota; Gammaproteobacteria; Enterobacterales; Enterobacteriaceae
Description: bacterial SSU rRNA
Rfam family: Bacterial small subunit ribosomal RNA
Source: RNAcentral